AAAGCUCAAAUACGAAAUGGAGAACGUAAUGUAUUGGAUAGAUCAGCGUGGUUACUGAUGUGUGGCAAACAAUAUUCAUGCGAGCCUGUGAGCUAGUAAAGACGUGAAUAUUGUUGGCAUUAGUGGUUAACGUUAAAUGUGGCACA
This is a long non-coding RNA of Bradysia coprophila, 146 nucleotides long. The record is from RefSeq and is a predicted model, not a curated record. Lineage: Eukaryota; Metazoa; Arthropoda; Insecta; Diptera; Sciaridae.